UCCUCUUAAACUCUCCAAGCUCUGAAACUCUCUACACUUCUGAUACUCACGUGACCAUACAAACCUCAUGCGCCGCUGCCUAAACAGACUGACUGGUCAUGUCUUUUGUAGACGUCACGAGAGUAGCGCUUAAAACAUCAAUGGGGGUAGUGUAAUUAAG
Etheostoma cragini (Arkansas darter) is the source of this 160-nucleotide long non-coding RNA. RefSeq lists it as uncharacterized. The transcript has 3 exons. NCBI's taxonomy places the organism in Eukaryota, Metazoa, Chordata, Actinopteri, Perciformes, Percidae. The record is from RefSeq and is a predicted model, not a curated record.